RNAcentral lists this ribosomal RNA (751 nucleotides) under Bacillus sp. (in: firmicutes). Its description in RNAcentral is "bacterial SSU rRNA". It matches the Rfam family "Bacterial small subunit ribosomal RNA", at positions 51 to 788 of the family's 1533-position model. Lineage: Bacteria; Bacillati; Bacillota; Bacilli; Caryophanales; Bacillaceae. The record is from RNAcentral.
AUACAUGCAGUCGAGCGAAUCGAUGGGAGCUUGCUCCCUGAGAUUAGCGGCGGACGGGUGAGUAACACGUGGGCAACCUGCCUAUAAGACUGGGAUAACUUCGGGAAACCGGAGCUAAUACCGGAUACGUUCUUUUCUCGCAUGAGAGAAGAUGGAAAGACGGUUUACGCUGUCACUUAUAGAUGGGCCCGCGGCGCAUUAGCUAGUUGGUGAGGUAAUGGCUCACCAAGGCGACGAUGCGUAGCCGACCUGAGAGGGUGAUCGGCCACACUGGGACUGAGACACGGCCCAGACUCCUACGGGAGGCAGCAGUAGGGAAUCUUCCGCAAUGGACGAAAGUCUGACGGAGCAACGCCGCGUGAACGAAGAAGGCCUUCGGGUCGUAAAGUUCUGUUGUUAGGGAAGAACAAGUACCAGAGUAACUGCUGGUACCUUGACGGUACCUAACCAGAAAGCCACGGCUAACUACGUGCCAGCAGCCGCGGUAAUACGUAGGUGGCAAGCGUUGUCCGGAAUUAUUGGGCGUAAAGCGCGCGCAGGUGGUUCCUUAAGUCUGAUGUGAAAGCCCACGGCUCAACCGUGGAGGGUCAUUGGAAACUGGGGAACUUGAGUGCAGAAGAGGAAAGUGGAAUUCCAAGUGUAGCGGUGAAAUGCGUAGAGAUUUGGAGGAACACCAGUGGCGAAGGCGACUUUCUGGUCUGUAACUGACACUGAGCGCGAAAGCGUGGGGAGCAAACAGAUUAGAUACCCU